UAGUUUUUCAGGUAUGUAGUUUGCACAGUGCUAAUUGAUGUGGUAUAAGCUUCAAUUACUUGUUAGCUCCAGUGCUAAACUGAUGAAGCAAACUUCAAACAUCAAACCAUGUUUUGGCUGAUCAACCACAUUGAUUUUUGGGCAGACUGUUGCUGUACGUGUUAGCUUGGGGGUUUGUUUCUUUAGCUCAGGGGCCAGUGCUCAGGUCUCCCAAUCCAAACAUCCCAAGAAUGGACACCCCCCACCUCCAGAACAAGGUCGGUUACACAAUACAGUUGCAAACACAAACCAUGGUUGUUCUGCAGUUGGCUGGAUUGUGAGUCUGCCAUGUUACAUAAGCUCUGUAAGUGUGGUUCUCUCACUCUUGUAACACAAGCCAGAACCACUCUGAUUAUCUCUAUCUGGCCUUAGCCAACUGGGCUGAGCUGGGGACCGGUUUCCUUUUCUUGAAGAGGUGGUUGGUAAAGGUUUGGGGAAGGGGUACUGACCCUUGGUCUGGGUUAAAGAGAAGGCGGCUGAAAGUUUUACUUCACUGCAUCACUCUGUUGGAAUCUUCCUGUGGGAGGAUAUGCAUGAGAAAAGUCAUUGUUCAAGAUAUUGGUCGUACUCCAGGUUUUGGCAGGUCAUUGACUUGACGAAUGACCUUGCGAAGCUUACAGGCUGAGGAGCCCAACAGCCCCCAUCCGCUCUGCUCCAGACUCUCACAGCGAUCCCCAGGAAAACUCCCAGAACAGAGCUGUUCAGGAAUAGAAACAGAUCCGUGCCCAGUACUGAGGAAGGACGCUGAUGUAGUAUUGUAGUAUCGUUCAUGGACACUUGAGUCCCUCUGGUCUCUCUCUCUCUCUCUCUCUCUCUCUCUCUGUCCCUCUCUCUCCCUGUCUCUGUGUCUGAGAAGCGCAUCCACACCCAGUCCAGCAGGAAGGUUCGGGGUGGUGUUUUGUUAUGGUCAUCUCGU
Long non-coding RNA from Colossoma macropomum (tambaqui), 955 nucleotides. RefSeq lists it as uncharacterized. Lineage: Eukaryota; Metazoa; Chordata; Actinopteri; Characiformes; Serrasalmidae. The transcript is spliced from 4 exons. The record is from RefSeq and is a predicted model, not a curated record.